This 192-nucleotide non-coding RNA is filed under the name Desulforamulus putei. Its description in RNAcentral is "Desulfotomaculum putei Lysine sequence". It matches the Rfam family "Lysine riboswitch aptamer". Rfam says of the family: Riboswitches are metabolite binding domains within certain messenger RNAs that serve as precision sensors for their corresponding targets. Allosteric rearrangement of mRNA structure is mediated by ligand binding, and this results in modulation of gene expression. This family includes riboswitches that sense lysine in a number of genes involved in lysine metabolism, including lysC. Lineage: Bacteria; Bacillati; Bacillota; Clostridia; Eubacteriales; Peptococcaceae. The record is from RNAcentral.
AGGUGAGGUAGAGGUCGCGGGUUAUUAAGAGUACUUGAGAUGAGACUGGGAGAGUCAAUGAAUUUCAAGGAAAGGAAUACCUGCCGAAGCAUUUAGAGUUUCCCGCUCUAAAUGCUGGGGUUGUGCCGAACAGGUACAACACUGUCACAGGAAAUAUUCCCUUCAUAUUUCCUGUGGAGCACUAUCUUACUA